Molecule: ribosomal RNA, 274 nt
Filed under: uncultured bacterium
Lineage: Bacteria
Description: partial 16S ribosomal RNA
Rfam family: Bacterial small subunit ribosomal RNA
Source: RNAcentral
AUACGGAGGGUCCAAGCGUUAUCCAGAAUCAUUGGGUUUAAAGGGUCCGCAGGCGGUCAAUUAAGUCAGAGGUGAAAGCCCAUCGCUCAACGAUGGAACUGCCUUUGAUACUGGUUGACUUGAGUUAUACGGAAGUAGAUAGAAUAAGUAGUGUAGCGGUGAAAUGCAUAGAUAUUACUUAGAAUACCGAUUGCGAAGGCAGUCUACUACGUAUAUACUGACGCUGAGGGACGAAAGCGUGGGGAGCGAACAGGAUUAGAUACCCCAGUAGUCC